UACGUAGGUGGCAAGCGUUGUCCGGAAUCACUGGGCGUAAAGCGCGCGCAGGCGGCGAUCUACGUCUGGGGUGAAAGCCCGGAGCUCAACUCCGGGACUGCCUUGGAUACGGGAUCGCUUGAGGAUUGGAGAGGCAAGGGGAAUUCCACGUGUAGCGGUGAAAUGCGUAGAUAUCAGGAGGAACACCUGCGGUGUAGACGGCUUACUGGACGGUAACUGACGCUGAGGCACGAAAGCGUGGGUAGCAAACAGG
This 253-nucleotide ribosomal RNA is filed under the name uncultured bacterium. RNAcentral describes it as "partial 16S ribosomal RNA". It matches the Rfam family "Bacterial small subunit ribosomal RNA", at positions 524 to 776 of the family's 1533-position model. The record is from RNAcentral.